Molecule: long non-coding RNA, 2267 nt
Filed under: Panax ginseng (ginseng)
Lineage: Eukaryota; Viridiplantae; Streptophyta; Magnoliopsida; Apiales; Araliaceae
Description: long non-coding RNA (PGIN_LNC011949)
Source: RNAcentral
GUAUGUCUGGUAGCACCAAGUAAAAGAAUUGCAAGUCAGGACCCAAAAGUGAAUAGAGAAUUAGUUAACUGCUGCAUGCAUUACGUAUGCCAUUAUACUUUUUAAAAAACUUUAUAUCGUACAGAUUGAUUGGAGGAAACUAGGGCAGGAGGACGAGUCCCUAUUAUUUACUGCAUCCAUUUAACUUUUUGACAACCCCGGCCUUGCACAAAUUGAAAUGGAGUAUUGAUAAUAGACAAUAUUGAAUUGCUUUCUCAUAAGAGUAUCCAAUCCAAUGCAAAAUAAUGGAUGGAUGGAUGAAUCCAAGUGAAUUCCAAGAGAAAGAUAGUACGUGCCUCAAUACUAGAUGACAAUUAAGUCCAAGGAAAUAUGAAAGAUAUCAUUCCCCUGCAAGUAAAGAGACAUUAACUUAGCAUUGAAAUUAUUACAAAUCAAUCCCAGGUUUCCUCGUGGUAACAGUUUCACAAUCGAUCUUUACGGAGCUGAAAAAUAUCUCACCAGAUAACUUAAACUCCCCAUGCAACACCAUUAUUAGGGCAGGGGCAAACCUCUCAGCAUCACUAGAAUUCACCCUUCGAGAUAUUAGAUCAUCAUAAAUAUCUGCGCCAUUAAUGUUAUAUCAGGUAACAUAUAAAAUUCUACUAGCAUCUACUUCAGUUACUGAUUAAAGGAGGAUAUAUAGCUUAUACCAUAUACCGAAAACAGACAAUUCAUGACGCCUGCAAUUUGACAGGCCAUAAGUGAGAAACACUUCCGAUUAUCAUAUUAGACAAGGAGAGCGAAACCAAGAAGAUAAGAAAGUAGUUAAGUAAUUAAGUUUGUUUAAAAAGAUAAAACAGAAUCUAUACCAAUGAAGAGAAUGAUGUAUAUACGCAAGUAUAUAUAUGAAUUUCAGUUGUUUCUUGAAGAACCCAUAUUAUGGCAAUGAAAAUGAUAAAUCCUGGAAGUUCAGUUGUACGAACCAAUAAUGUGAGCAGGAUAUCAAAUCUAGAAACAACCAAAACAUUAAUAUAAACAACAAUUUGUCAUAUAUAGAAAUUAAAUUACUGACCAACGCAAAGUCCUCGAUCGGAGUGUCCACUGUUUCAAAUAUAGAAGACAAAAAUAAGAUAGUGAUCAUAUCUGAGUCCUUCAUAACUUUGAUUCUCACCCAAUUUCAGAUUCUAGUAUUUUACGAAAUGCAGUUGAUGCACUGGUAAGUAUACAAAAUAUACAUAUCUUUCUUACAUUUUUAGCAACAAAAAGCAAAGCAAGCAGCAAAACAAUUAACCAGCAGCAAUUGUUGCAGUGAGAAGAUUUGUGGAUGCAAGAAUGAAAACCAUUCCCCAAAAUGAUGAACCAAGAUCUGGAUGCAGGAAGCAAUUACACACUCUCAGUGCCACUAAGAAUCAGUCAAUAUUGCUAAAUUAAAGACAUGGUCAAAAGAGGACAGCAGUACAGAUAAAUUUAUGAGACACUAAUAUUAAUUGUGAGAGAUUUCAUCUAUUCUGUAGCACACAGUAGCAGAUUGAAAUAAAGAUGCAAUAGAACGAGACAUGGAAUCAUCAAGAAAAUGUAUUACAUCCUGCAGGCAAGAUCAACCAAUAGGCAUGCACCGCCACCUGUUUGUGUCACCCCGCCCUCAUUUGCAUGCCUACCAAGUACCACCUGCAUACGGAAGUAGACCAGUAAACAUGUAUUAAUUACAGCAUAGAAAAGAGUAUUGCUCAGCAAUUACCAGGCAUGAUGCAGUCUUCCAGUUCCAAAUCCUUAUGAAGUUGAAAACCCAAUAAACAAAUGUAGACACAGCAAAUCCCUUGAAAACAUGAUGUUUAAAUGAGUUUAUCUUCAAGACCUUUCAUUCCUUUAGAAAACUUACAUUUCAAUCUGCAGUAGCUUAACUUAUAUCUUAAGCUAUAAUAAUACUACUGCAGUAAAACUUAAUCCAGUCAAUUCUUAGAGGCUCAAGGAUCAGAGCUUUUCUCUUGCAGAUUCACGAAAAAAGAACCUGCAGUUUGGUUAUUUUAGGUCAAUGAAUAACACCAAAAUCAGAUGAUCAUGAACUCAAAGCUGAGAUGAGUGCUAAAUCUAUUGGAUAAUAAUGUGAACUUUUAGUCAAAAAAUGGGUGCUGAAUAUCUGAUAACUAUGUUUUGGGGUGUGUUCCGCAUUCACUUUUACACAAUAUGUUCUCAGAUUCUCUUUAGCUAUUAAAACUAGGCAUGAUGUGUUUUGGUACGGUUACAAGAUAUAAUCGUAACAAAACUGUAUAGUGUGGUUAAUAUUAUAA